RNAcentral lists this ribosomal RNA (253 nucleotides) under uncultured bacterium. RNAcentral's name for it is "partial 16S ribosomal RNA". It matches the Rfam family "Bacterial small subunit ribosomal RNA", at positions 524 to 776 of the family's 1533-position model. The record is from RNAcentral.
UACGUAGGGGGCUAGCGUUGUCCGGAAUCAUUGGGCGUAAAGCGCGUGUAGGCGGUUCGGUAAGUCCGCUGUGAAAGUCCAGGGCUCAACCCUGGGAUGCCGGUGGAUACUGUCGAGCUCGAGUCCGGAAGAGGCGAGUGGAAUUCCUGGUGUAGCGGUGAAAUGCGCAGAUAUCAGGAGGAACACCAAUGGCGAAGGCAGCUCGCUGGGACGUGACUGACGCUGAGACGCGAAAGCGUGGGGAGCAAACAGG